Long non-coding RNA from Esox lucius (northern pike), 890 nucleotides. RefSeq lists it as uncharacterized. NCBI's taxonomy places the organism in Eukaryota, Metazoa, Chordata, Actinopteri, Esociformes, Esocidae. The record is from RefSeq and is a predicted model, not a curated record. The transcript is spliced from 4 exons.
CACCUGAGCUCCAUUUCGUUUGUCAUAGGAAAAGGGUCUGACUACUCAUAACAAGAUCAACACAUUCCGCACUCACUUAUUGGCAGGCAUCACUCAGCCAACUAGGAUAGCUGUUGCUGCUUUAGUUCAACGCUAGUGUUCCUUCUAAACUAAUAACUAAGCUCAGAGCACUAGACUGUCUGAUGAGCAGACCGCAGGCUGUGAGAAUUUGCAACAACACCUACUCCUUCCCUACUCCAAAGCCUUCUGCUUUGCUCCCAGUUCCCCACUGUGUAGCUCCGCACGACACCAACUCUAUCAUGAAGUUUGCUGAUGACACCAAGUUUGUAGGCCUUACAAUGAUGAGUAAGUAAUACAGGAAAUUUAAAAAAAACUGCCACUGUGGUGCAACAACCUCUCGCUCAACAGCAGCAACACAAAGGAGAUGGUUGUUUUCUUCGGGAAUCAGAGGCGGGAACACGCUCCGAUUCAUAUCAAUGGAGCUAUUAAAGGGUGUCAGCAUUUUUAAACGCGUCAGCUUUUACAAGUUGUCUAGAUUGCGCAACAGCGGCUCUUCUCAACCAAAGAAUCUCAGCAUGGGUCCCUUACCUAUCGCUUUCACCAUCCCAAGAACUCAGCCUGCCUGCAGGACGGACGGCACCGGAACUUCACACCUGACAGCAAGACCAGGUGUUGCUGAGGUAUAGGCGGGCUGCAUACGAGCGAGGGCAAGGGACGCUGCAACCGCAAUCUGUCGAGGCUACGACACCUGCUGUGCCUCCGCUGAUUACUACAGAACUCCAGCAUUACAGCCAUUUGAGAAUGUCAGGGAAUGGAUGUCGUUGUGUACACAAGACGAGGAACACGCCACACGUGUCCGGAGAGAUAGCGAGGGGGGAUGAAUAAUCGCU